Long non-coding RNA from Hippocampus zosterae (dwarf seahorse), 896 nucleotides. RefSeq lists it as uncharacterized. NCBI's taxonomy places the organism in Eukaryota, Metazoa, Chordata, Actinopteri, Syngnathiformes, Syngnathidae. The transcript has 3 exons. The record is from RefSeq and is a predicted model, not a curated record.
CGUUUGUGGCUUUUUGCCAGCUAUAAUCCAUAGAGCUGACCAUAAAAAUCGCAGCACAUAAAAUAUGUGACUCGGCAUGUCACGAAUCUUGAUAUUUCUUUUCCACUUUUUGACAUGCACUUUGUGGAAAAUAUUUAGUAGCUCCACUAUGUUGUAAUUGCCACAUCUGUGAAGUGUGGAGACAUGUAUUUGUUCCUGCAGCCACUGUGCAAUGGCAGCUCUCAAUGACGUCCGGCAGUACCUCAGUGUUGAGGGAGGACAAGUGGUCAUAUUCAACGCCACCAAUACGACAAGAGAACGACGAGGGACCAUUGUCAAGUUUGCCGAGCAAAACGGUUUCAAGGUAAGCGUGGAGUCUGUGUGUGAAGACCCAGACGUCAUCGCGCAGAACAUCGUGGUGGCGAAGCUCGGCAGCCCCGACGACAUCCACUGUGACACUCAAUAGGCCAUCUAAGACUUUAUGAAAAGGAUCAAGUGCUAUGAGUCGUCAUACCAGCCUCUAGACGAGGUUUUGGACAGGUGAGUUGACACAACAUGAGGUACAUGUGAAUAGUCUAAACAGCUGGUGUGCAUAAGGAACAAGGUUAUUUUAUUUUCGUGAGCAAAAAUUCUCAUUUUGUUUGGGGGGGUUGACAAGGGCUAUGUAGCUUUUAUAUCCACUGUAGUCCCUCGGCCCUCAUCAAAUUGGCUUACCCCUCACCAUAUAUUUAUUCAUUUAUUCACCCCCAACUUUCAUCAACCUAUCAUCUUUCCUUUCCACCACCUCAUUUCGCUCUAAUCCACAAAUUAAAUAAGCAGGCAUAGGUGACACAUGUACAAUAAUUUUUAUUCGGCGGCCACAGCUUUUGCAUAUUACAACUGUUGGCGUUCAGAAGGCAAAAAAAAAAAAGCAAGAA